CCUACGGGAGGCAGCAGUGAGGAAUAUUGGUCAAUGGGCUUACGCCUGAACCAGCCAAGUCGCGUGAGGGAAGACUGCCCUAUGGGUUGUAAACCUCUUUUGUCAGGGAGCAAUUGGCGCUACGUGUAGCGUUAUCGAGAGUACCUGAAGAAAAAGCAUCGGCUAACUCCUUGCCAGCAGCCGCGGUAAUACGGAGGAUGCGAGCGUUAUCCGGAUUUAUUGGGUUUAAAGGGUGCGUAGGCGGAAUGCCAAGUCAGCGGUAAAAUCGCGGGGCUCAACCUCGCUACGCCGUUGAAACUGGCGGUCUUGAGAUGGCGAGAAGUAUGCGGAAUGCGUGGUGUAGCGGUGAAAUGCAUAGAUAUCACGCAGAACUCCGAUUGCGAAGGCAGCAUACCGGCGCCCAACUGACGCUGAGGCACGAAAGCGUGGGUAUCGAACAGGAUUAGAUACCCGAGUAGUC
RNAcentral lists this ribosomal RNA (460 nucleotides) under uncultured bacterium. Its description in RNAcentral is "partial 16S ribosomal RNA". It matches the Rfam family "Bacterial small subunit ribosomal RNA", at positions 338 to 795 of the family's 1533-position model. The record is from RNAcentral.